This 450-nucleotide ribosomal RNA is filed under the name uncultured bacterium. Its description in RNAcentral is "partial 16S ribosomal RNA". It matches the Rfam family "Bacterial small subunit ribosomal RNA", at positions 354 to 796 of the family's 1533-position model. The record is from RNAcentral.
GUGGGGAAUAUUGGACAAUGGGCGCAAGCCUGAUCCAGCCAUUCCGCGUGCAGGAUGAAGGCCUUCGGGUUGUAAACUGCUUUUAUACGGAACGAAAAGCUUCUGGUUAAUACCCGGGGGUCAUGACGGUACCGUUAGAAUAAGCGCCCGCUAACUACGUGCCAGCAGCCGCCGUAAUACGUAGGGUGCGAGCGUUAAUCGGACUUACUGGGCGUAAAGCGUGCGCAGGCGGUGAUGUAAGCCAUCUGUGAACUCCCCGGGCUCAACCUGGGAACUGUAUCUGUGACGGGAUUGCUAGGGUGCGGCAGAGGUGGAUGGAAUUCCGGGUGUAGCAGUGAGAUGAGUAGAUAUUCGGAGUGACACCGAUGGCGAAGGCAAUCCCCUGGGCCUGCACUGACGCUCAUGCGCGAAAGUGUGGGGAGCAAACAGGAUUAGAAACCCUGGUAGUCC